Non-coding RNA from Phrynosoma platyrhinos (Desert horned lizard), 72 nucleotides. The record is from the annotation of a GenBank genome assembly. NCBI's taxonomy places the organism in Eukaryota, Metazoa, Chordata, Lepidosauria, Squamata, Phrynosomatidae.
GCCAGUGUGGUGUAGUGCUUUUAAUGUUGGACUACAACUCUGGAGAUCAGGGUUUGAUUCCCAGCUCAGCCA